AUACGAAAGGUGCAAGCGUUGUUCGGAUUUACUGGGCGUAAAGAGAUCGUAGGUGGUUUGUUAAGUUGGAUGUGAAAUCCCGGGGCUCAACCUCGGGACUGCAUCCAAAACUGGCGGACUUGAGUUCGGGAGGGGUAAGCGGAAUUCCGUGUGUAGCAGUGAAAUGCGUAGAUAUACGGAGGAACACCUGAGGCGAAGGCGGCUUACUGGACCGAUACUGACACUGAGGAUCGAAAGCGUGGGUAGCAAACAGGAUUAGAAACCCCAGUAGUCC
This 274-nucleotide ribosomal RNA is filed under the name uncultured bacterium. RNAcentral's name for it is "partial 16S ribosomal RNA". It matches the Rfam family "Bacterial small subunit ribosomal RNA", at positions 523 to 796 of the family's 1533-position model. The record is from RNAcentral.